This is a non-coding RNA of Podarcis lilfordi (Lilford's wall lizard), 74 nucleotides long. The record is from the annotation of a GenBank genome assembly. NCBI's taxonomy places the organism in Eukaryota, Metazoa, Chordata, Lepidosauria, Squamata, Lacertidae.
GCUGGGAUAGCUCAGUCGGUAGAGUGCGAGGCACUUAAAUCUCAGGUUCGGGGGUUCAAGCCCCACCUUGGGCA